This 131-nucleotide microRNA precursor is filed under the name Gossypium hirsutum (cotton). RNAcentral's name for it is "MIR7502 microRNA precursor family". It matches the Rfam family "MIR7502 microRNA precursor family". The record is from Rfam by way of RNAcentral. RNAcentral also lists the same sequence under 1 other name. Lineage: Eukaryota; Viridiplantae; Streptophyta; Magnoliopsida; Malvales; Malvaceae.
UAUUAAAAAUUUCAUCCAUUUAGACUAUUAAAAACCAGUGUGGCUGAUGGAAAAAUCAGGCAUUAAUAUGUGGUAUAUCAUGUGUACUACAGGGACAAUUUUUACAAUUAAAAUAGAUAGAAUUUUUAACA